CAUGUUACAUGGAAAUGUCUCGCUUAUAUAGUAGGAGAUCUUCCUUGAAAUAAUCAAAGAAAAAGUACAAAAGUAGGUGGUUUCCGCUUAGUGAAGAAGUUAAGCUCUAAACGAUGUCUCAUUCACCCCACGCCCGGGCCGUGCCCUCACUCUGAUCGGUAUCUACCCAUUGGACGUACACGUUGGCGUGGGGACGUUGACGGCCAAAUUUGACCCUAUACAACACGCAUCAAAAAUAUUCUUUAUCCAAACUGUUUGGGUCUGGAAAUUAAACAAGAAAAUCCAUAAUCACGAAUCGAUAUUCCUUACCAUCCAAGUGAAUGCGUGAAAUAAAAAAGACAAUCCGUGCUUAUAUAUCCUCAUUAUAAAAGAAAGGAGAAUGCAUAAAUAAGUUGAUGACAAUCAGAACUUGCUAAUUUAAGCAAUUAUGUGCUAGCAUAUUGUCCCGUUACAAAAUUUCCUAAGCUAAAUGAGCCAUAAUUUUGUUAUAAUAAUUUAACACAACAGCAUUUUACCGAGCAGAAUAAGACCGCAUAUACAAUUGGAAAAGCCAAACCCGUGCUGAGAAAACCAAAAAGAAACAUUGAUAUUGUUCCUAUAUCGAUCUCGAGCAGUAUGCUUGGACCCAUGUUCAUAAUUAUGACAUUAAUAAUAGCGUAAAUCAAUAUUCCUCCUGUUGGGAUACCAUUAUCGUUGAGCUCUUUUGGUCUUCAAGAUUGGAAGUCGAAGGAGACGUUAAUUCUGGCCCUGUGGGAGUAAUACUGUUGCUAUUAUUAUUAUUAUUAUUAUUAUUAUUAUUAUUAUUAUUAUUAUUAUUAUUAUAGGAGUAGUUUUCGAUCUGGCGGAGAGAGAGGCGGAAGGGGAAGUUAUUAAUUAGCAGUAUGAUUACUAGUAGUGAGAAUGAAAUGUUCAUGUAAAGAGAAGAGAAGAGGAAAUUACCACUUUUGUAGCCAUUGUUGCAAAACCUAUGUAGAGGAAGCAACUCCGGGCUUCCUUCGUUCCACGUAGGGUGGAUUUUUUUAUUUUUUAUUUUUGGUUGGUUUAGGAAUUUAGGAUUUAGUACUUCGGCAUGUCCUUUGCUUUUCUUCUUCGGAUUCCU
Molecule: long non-coding RNA, 1099 nt
Filed under: Nicotiana benthamiana
Lineage: Eukaryota; Viridiplantae; Streptophyta; Magnoliopsida; Solanales; Solanaceae
Description: long non-coding RNA (NBEN_LNC026284)
Source: RNAcentral